CCUACGGGAGGCAGCAGUGGGGAAUAUUGCACAAUGGGGGAAACCCUGAUGCAGCGACGCCGCGUGAGUGAAGAAGUAAUUCGUGAUGUAAAGCUCUAUCAGCAGGGAAGAAAAGGACGGUACCUGAGUAAGAAGCCCCGGCUAACUACGGGCCAGCAGCCGCGGUAAGACGUAGGGGGCAAGCGUUAUCCGGAUUGACUGGGUGUAACGGGAGCGUAGCCGGCAGGGCACGGCUGGAGUGAACGGCGGGGGCUCAACCCCCGGACGGCUCUGGAAACGGUACGGCUGGAGUGCAGGAGCGGUAAGUGGCAUUCCUCUUGUAGCGGUGCCAUGCGUAGCUCUUCGGCGGAACACCAGUGGCGAAGGCGGCUUACUGGACUGUACCUGACGUUGAGGCUCGAAAGCGUGGGGAGCAAACAGGAUUAGAUACCCGGGUAGUC
This 440-nucleotide ribosomal RNA is filed under the name uncultured bacterium. Its description in RNAcentral is "partial 16S ribosomal RNA". It matches the Rfam family "Bacterial small subunit ribosomal RNA", at positions 338 to 795 of the family's 1533-position model. The record is from RNAcentral.